UCCGCGGUAGCUCAAUUGGCAGAGCAGCUGGCUGUUAACCAGCGGGUUGCAGGUUCGAGUCCUGCCCGCGGAG
Molecule: transfer RNA, 73 nt
Filed under: Candidatus Kryptonium thompsonii
Lineage: Bacteria; Pseudomonadati; Candidatus Kryptoniota
Also listed under: 6 other names
Description: Candidatus Kryptonium thompsoni tRNA
Rfam family: tRNA
About the family: Transfer RNA (tRNA) molecules are approximately 80 nucleotides in length. Their secondary structure includes four short double-helical elements and three loops (D, anti-codon, and T loops).
Source: Rfam by way of RNAcentral